RNAcentral lists this ribosomal RNA (503 nucleotides) under uncultured bacterium. RNAcentral describes it as "partial 16S ribosomal RNA". It matches the Rfam family "Bacterial small subunit ribosomal RNA", at positions 30 to 523 of the family's 1533-position model. The record is from RNAcentral.
UUUGAACGCUGGCGGCAGGCUUAACACAUGCAAGUCGAGCGGGGUGAUGGUGCUUGCACUAUCACUUAGCGGCGGACGGGUGAGUAAUGCUUAGGAAUCUGCCUAUUAGUGGGGGACAACAUCUCGAAAGGGAUGCUAAUACCGCAUACGUCCUACGGGAGAAAGCAGGGGAUCACUUGUGACCUUGCGCUAAUAGAUGAGCCUAAGUCGGAGUAGCUAGUUGGUGGGGUAAAGGCCUACCAAGGCGACGAUCUGUAGCGGGUCUGAGAGGAUGAUCCGCCACACUGGGACUGAGACACGGCCCAGACUCCUACGGGAGGCAGCAGUGGGGAAUAUUGGACAAUGGGGGGAACCCUGAUCCAGCCAUGCCGCGUGUGUGAAGAAGGCCUUAUGGUUGUAAAGCACUUUAAGCGAGGAGGAGGCUACUUUAGUUAAUACCUAGAGAUAGUGGACGUUACUCGCAGAAUAAGCACCGGCUAACUCUGUGCCAGCCGCCGCCGUAA